Molecule: ribosomal RNA, 459 nt
Filed under: uncultured bacterium
Lineage: Bacteria
Description: partial 16S ribosomal RNA
Rfam family: Bacterial small subunit ribosomal RNA
Source: RNAcentral
CCUACGGGAGGCAGCAGUGAGGAAUAUUGGUCAAUGGGAGAGAUCCUGAACCAGCCAAGCCGCGUGAGGGAAGACGGCCCUAUGGGUUGUAAACCUCUUUUGUCGGGGAACAAACCCCGGGACGUGUCCCGUCCUGCGUGUAUCCUACGAACAAGCAUCGGCUAGCUCCGUGCCAGCAGCCGCGGUAAUACGGGGGAUGCGAGCGUUAUCCGGAUUUAUUGGGUUUAAAGGGUGCGUAGGCGGUCCGUUAAGUCAGCGGGAAAAUUGCGGGGCUCAACCCCGUCGAGCCGUUGAAACUGGCAGACUUGAGUGGGCGAGAGGUACGCGGAAUGCGCGGUGUAGCGGUGAAAUGCAUAGAUAUCGCGCAGAACUCCGAUUGCGAAGGCAGCGUACCGGAGCCAGACUGACGCUGAGGCACGAAAGCGUGGGGAUCGAACAGGAUUAGAUACCCGUGUAGUC